GGGUUGUGAGGUUAAGCGACUAAGCGUACACGGUGGAUGCCCUGGCAGUCAGAGGCGAUGAAGGGCGUGCUAAUCUGCGAUAAGCGCCGGUAAGGUGAUAUGAACCGUUAUAACCGGCGAUACCCGAAUGGGGAAACCCAGUGUGAUUCGUCACACUAUCAUUAACUGAAUCCAUAGGUUAAUGAGGCGAACCGGGGGAACUGAAACAUCUAAGUACCCCGAGGAAAAGAAAUCAACCGAGAUUCCCCCAGUAGCGGCGAGCGAACGGGGAGGAGCCCAGAGCCUGAAUCAGCAUGUGUGUUAGUGGAAGCGUCUGGAAAGGUGCGCGAUACAGGGUGACAGCCCCGUACACAAAAGCGCAUGUGCUGUGAGCUCGAUGAGUAGGGCGGGACACGUGGUAUCCUGUCUGAAUAUGGGGGGACCAUCCUCCAAGGCUAAAUACUCCUGACUGACCGAUAGUGAACCAGUACCGUGAGGGAAAGGCGAAAAGAACCCCGGCGAGGGGAGUGAAAAAGAACCUGAAACCGUGUACGUACAAGCAGUGGGAGCACAGGUUUACCUGUGUGACUGCGUACCUUUUGUAUAAUGGGUCAGCGACUUAUAUUCUGUAGCAAGGUUAACCGUAUAGGGGAGCCGGAGGGAAACCGAGUCUUAACCGGGCGUUAAGUUGCAGGGUAUAGACCCGAAACCCGGUGAUCUAGCCAUGGGCAGGUUGAAGGUUGGGUAACACUAACUGGAGGACCGAACCGACUAAUGUUGAAAAAUUAGCGGAUGACCUGUGGCUGGGGGUGAAAGGCCAAUCAAACCGGGAGAUAGCUGGUUCUCCCCGAAAGCUAUUUAGGUAGCGCCUCGUGAAUUCAUCUCCGGGGGUAGAGCACUGUUUCGGCUAGGGGGCCAUCCCGGCUUACCAACCCGAUGCAAACUGCGAAUACCGGAGAAUGUUAUCACGGGAGACACACGGCGGGUGCUAACGUCCGUCGUGAAGAGGGAAACAACCCAGACCGCCAGCUAAGGUCCCAAAGUCAUGGUUAAGUGGGAAACGAUGUGGGAAGGCCCAGACAGCCAGGAUGUUGGCUUAGAAGCAGCCAUCAUUUAAAGAAAGCGUAAUAGCUCACUGGUCGAGUCGGCCUGCGCGGAAGAUGUAACGGGGCUAAACCAUGCACCGAAGCUGCGGCAGCGAACGUAUCACCCAAGACAACUUUACGGAGUUGACGAUUGACGGAGCGAAGCGACGUCAAAGCGUUCAUUAAAGUCGAGUUGGCUUAGGGAUACGUUCGUUGGGUAGGGGAGCGUUCUGUAAGCCUGUGAAGGUGUGUCGUGAGGCAUGCUGGAGGUAUCAGAAGUGCGAAUGCUGACAUAAGUAACGAUAAAGCGGGUGAAAAGCCCGCUCGCCGGAAGACCAAGGGUUCCUGUCCAACGUUAAUCGGGGCAGGGUGAGUCGACCCCUAAGGCGAGGCCGAAAGGCGUAGUCGAUGGGAAACGGGUUAAUAUUCCCGUACUUGGUGUUACUGCGAAGGGGGGACGGAGAAGGCUAUGUUGGCCGGGCGACGGUUGUCCCGGUUUAAGCGUGUAGGUGUGUGUUCCAGGUAAAUCCGGUUCACUUUAACACUGAGGCGUGACGACGAGGCACUACGGUGCUGAAGCAACAAAUGCCCUGCUUCCAGGAAAAGCCUCUAAGCAUCAGGUAACACGAAAUCGUACCCCAAACCGACACAGGUGGUCAGGUAGAGAAUACCAAGGCGCUUGAGAGAACUCGGGUGAAGGAACUAGGCAAAAUGGUGCCGUAACUUCGGGAGAAGGCACGCUGACACGUAGGUGAAGUGAUUUACUCAUGGAGCUGAAGUCAGUCGAAGAUACCAGCUGGCUGCAACUGUUUAUUAAAAACACAGCACUGUGCAAACACGAAAGUGGACGUAUACGGUGUGACGCCUGCCCGGUGCCGGAAGGUUAAUUGAUGGGGUCAGCGUAAGCGAAGCUCCUGAUCGAAGCCCCGGUAAACGGCGGCCGUAACUAUAACGGUCCUAAGGUAGCGAAAUUCCUUGUCGGGUAAGUUCCGACCUGCACGAAUGGCGUAAUGAUGGCCAGGCUGUCUCCACCCGAGACUCAGUGAAAUUGAACUCGCUGUGAAGAUGCAGUGUACCCGCGGCAAGACGGAAAGACCCCGUGAACCUUUACUAUAGCUUGACACUGAACAUUGAGCCUUGAUGUGUAGGAUAGGUGGGAGGCUUUGAAGUGUGGACGCCAGUCUGCAUGGAGCCGACCUUGAAAUACCACCCUUUAAUGUUUGAUGUUCUAACGUGGACCCGUAAUCCGGGUUGCGGACAGUGUCUGGUGGGUAGUUUGACUGGGGCGGUCUCCUCCUAAAGAGUAACGGAGGAGCACGAAGGUUGGCUAAUCCUGGUCGGACAUCAGGAGGUUAGUGCAAUGGCAUAAGCCAGCUUGACUGCGAGCGUGACGGCGCGAGCAGGUGCGAAAGCAGGUCAUAGUGAUCCGGUGGUUCUGAAUGGAAGGGCCAUCGCUCAACGGAUAAAAGGUACUCCGGGGAUAACAGGCUGAUACCGCCCAAGAGUUCAUAUCGACGGCGGUGUUUGGCACCUCGAUGUCGGCUCAUCACAUCCUGGGGCUGAAGUAGGUCCCAAGGGUAUGGCUGUUCGCCAUUUAAAGUGGUACGCGAGCUGGGUUUAGAACGUCGUGAGACAGUUCGGUCCCUAUCUGCCGUGGGCGCUGGAGAACUGAGGGGGGCUGCUCCUAGUACGAGAGGACCGGAGUGGACGCAUCACUGGUGUUCGGGUUGUCAUGCCAAUGGCACUGCCCGGUAGCUAAAUGCGGAAGAGAUAAGUGCUGAAAGCAUCUAAGCACGAAACUUGCCCCGAGAUGAGUUCUCCCUGAGACUUAGAGUCUCCUGAAGGAACGUUGAAGACGACGACGUUGAUAGGCCGGGUGUGUAAGCGCAGCGAUGCGUUGAGCUAACCGGUACUAAUGAACCGUGAGGCUUAACCUUACAACGCCGAAG
RNAcentral lists this ribosomal RNA (3013 nucleotides) under Salmonella enterica. RNAcentral's name for it is "bacterial LSU rRNA". It matches the Rfam family "Bacterial large subunit ribosomal RNA". The record is from RNAcentral. RNAcentral also lists the same sequence under 1 other name. Lineage: Bacteria; Pseudomonadati; Pseudomonadota; Gammaproteobacteria; Enterobacterales; Enterobacteriaceae.